RNAcentral lists this transfer RNA (89 nucleotides) under Venturia inaequalis. It matches the Rfam family "tRNA". Rfam says of the family: Transfer RNA (tRNA) molecules are approximately 80 nucleotides in length. Their secondary structure includes four short double-helical elements and three loops (D, anti-codon, and T loops). Further hydrogen bonds mediate the characteristic L-shaped molecular structure. tRNAs have two regions of fundamental functional importance: the anti-codon, which is responsible for specific mRNA codon recognition, and the 3' end, to which the tRNAs corresponding amino acid is attached (by aminoacyl-tRNA synthetases). tRNAs cope with the degeneracy of the genetic code in two manners: having more than one tRNA (with a specific anti-codon) for a particular amino acid; and 'wobble' base-pairing, i.e. permitting non-standard base-pairing at the 3rd anti-codon position. The record is from Rfam by way of RNAcentral. Lineage: Eukaryota; Fungi; Ascomycota; Dothideomycetes; Venturiales; Venturiaceae.
GGCCCUAUGGCGCAAUGGCAGCGCGUCAGAUUCCAGUUCUUGCAGCAGGAAGCACCUGAAGGUUAUCCGUUCAAAUCGGGUUAGGGUCA